Molecule: ribosomal RNA, 424 nt
Filed under: uncultured bacterium
Lineage: Bacteria
Description: bacterial SSU rRNA
Rfam family: Bacterial small subunit ribosomal RNA
Source: RNAcentral
UGAGGAAUAUUGGGCAAUGCCCGAAAGGGUGACCCAGCAACGCCGCGUGGAGGAUGAAUGCCGUAAGGUUGUAAACUCCUGUUAGAGGGGAAGAAAAAUCUCGAUCAAAUCGAGAACUGACUGUACCCUCAGAGAAAGCCCCGGCUAACUACGUGCCAGCAGCCGCGGUAAUACGUAGGGGGCAAGCGUUGUCCGGAUUCACUGGGUGUAAAGGGCGCGCAGGCGGGUUAGCAAGUCAGAGGUGAAAUCCUACAGCUUAACUGUAGAACUGCCUUUGAGACUGCUAAUCUUGAGUACGGAAGAGAGAGAUGGAAUUCCAGGUGUAGUGGUGAAAUACGUAGAUAUCUGGAAGAACACCAGUGGCGAAGGCGGUCUCUUGGUCCAUUACUGACGCUAAGGCGCGAAAGCGUGGGGAGCAAACAGG